CGCUGCCUUCCGAACGGCCCCACAACGAGCGCGCUGCCCCACGGCACCGCCGCGCUUCGUGCCGCACGCCAGCCGCGCUGUGUGUGACAGCGCCCCAGCAGAGCUGAUUCAUCGGCUCGCUCCAGCCGUCACCUGACGCUCGGAGAUGCCUUUUCUAGCGACAAUAGCAACUGAGGAGGAGCUGCCGUGGUGGAAACCCUGUGCCGACAGCUUCCUCCCGAGGGAGACAGAUGCACGAUGCAAGGCUGCGCUCCUCCAGACAUCAUCUCAGCCAGAGGAAGAACGGCCGCAGCAGCAGCUGCUCUGCGCCCCACCGAAUAAUUUAAGUUCCUUUCCCAUUCGUCUCAGCCUCACCCCUACAACACAGAGGAAUGAACGCACACCGCUUCUGCUUUCCAACCUCUGACGUCCACAGCAACCGAGCUGUCAUAGAGACAGCCUCGCACCACGCACAUUUGCUCAGUUCAGGAGACUCUGUAUUUCAAGAAGGCCCAGCAGUGCUGCUGAGUGCGAGGCAGCGUUUAAUCGAAGCACAAGGGUACCGUGUUUUCCCACGUUGCACUUCACAAUGCUAAUGUGACAAGAAGGACGCAGGAGCAGCCUAUGGCAGCACCAGCUCUAUUGCCACACGGCCUGCAAUCAGCCUCUCCACUCGGGAGCGCACGGCCCUCAUCCCAUCCUGCUCCAGCAGGGAGAUGGCAAGCCAUUCACACUACAUUGCUCGGCUGUCCAUAAAACAUUUCAUUUCUGUAUGUUUCUUUUAAAAAAGGCAGAAAAAGACACCUAUCUGGAACAAUGGAACACAGGAGAGAUGGCAAGGGGGGAGCAGAGGGAAUCAAUCGCUGGCCACAACUCUGAAAAUCCCUGCUUAUGAGGUUUGCAAGUAUUUACACCUCAUAAGGGUCCUUCAAGUUGUAUGUCCUACACUCUACAGUCUUCAAAUCAAAUACUUUGCAUUUGGAGACUCUUACCUCCGCUCCACAGAACAUUCAGAUCCAUCUCCUAUUUGUAUGCCCUGUUUGAGAGGUACAUAAAUGACCUACAAAAGGGGCGGACAGCAGUCUUGCAGUUGGCAGAUAAUUACUCAGAAUAGCAAAGGGGAAAAAAAGAUGGACUGAAAAAGCUCCCAACAUGCCUAGUGAAUUGCAGCUGUAAAUUUAGCUCCUAAAGAGACACACGAGAGAAAAACAAAUCUUAGCAUAUGCUAGAAACCAGGUUUUGGAGCUGCCAAAAGGGAACAAGACCUCACAGCUCUAACAGUAUGAGAUUAUCAGCUGCAUGGUGGCACAGCCCAGGAUUUUGGAAUACGGGCCCAGAUUACAUAACUGGGCCAUAGCAGGGAGAGGACGAGAGUCAGCCCCACAGAUACCAGUCACAUGUGUAUGAGAACCAGGAAUAACGUCCUAUUACCACACAGUUCGUUUUCUUUUUUUUUUGGUUGUUUGUUUUUAACAUUAAGAUCAGCAAAAGAUCAGCAAAAUCAGCCCAGCAGCGCGAUUUGUGCCUCUCAAAUCAAGUUUUCAUCUAUUUUUGCACAGAUGUCACAAAUAAUCUUUUCCAUAGCUGGUCCCCUGAUUAACAGUCCCAGUUUUGUAUUCUUUAGGAUUACAUUCAAUAAAUACAUCUACAACAAUU
This 1635-nucleotide long non-coding RNA is filed under the name Gallus gallus (chicken). Its description in RNAcentral is "lncRNA (ENSGALG00010023470.1)". The record is from RNAcentral. Lineage: Eukaryota; Metazoa; Chordata; Aves; Galliformes; Phasianidae.